GCCCGUCUAGCUCAGUUGGUAGAGCGCAAGGCUCUUAACCUUGUGAUUGUGGGUUCGAGCCCCACGGUGGGCG
RNAcentral lists this transfer RNA (73 nucleotides) under Triticum aestivum (bread wheat). RNAcentral describes it as "tRNA-Lys (CTT) (tRNA-Lys-CTT-19-1, tRNA-Lys-CTT-20-1)". It matches the Rfam family "tRNA". Rfam says of the family: Transfer RNA (tRNA) molecules are approximately 80 nucleotides in length. Their secondary structure includes four short double-helical elements and three loops (D, anti-codon, and T loops). Lineage: Eukaryota; Viridiplantae; Streptophyta; Magnoliopsida; Poales; Poaceae. The record is from Rfam by way of RNAcentral.